GACGAACGCUGGCGGCGUGCUUAACACAUGCAAGUCGAGCGGUAAGGCCCUUUCGGGGGUACACGAGCGGCGAACGGGUGAGUAACACGUGGGUGACCUGCCCUCAGCUCUGGGAUAAGCCUGGGAAACUGGGUCUAAUACUGGAUAUGACUCCACGGUGCAUGUCGUGGGGUGGAAAGCCUUGUGCGGCUGAGGAUGGGCCCGCGGCCUAUCAGCUUGUUGGUGGGGGAUGGCCUACCAAGGCGACGACGGGUAGCCGGCCUGAGAGGGCGACCGGGCCACACUGGGACUGAGACACGGCCCAGACUCCUACGGGAGGCAGCAGUGGGGAAUCUUGCGCAAUGGGCGAAAGCCUGACGCAGCGACGCCGCGUGAGGGAUGACGGCCU
Molecule: ribosomal RNA, 388 nt
Filed under: uncultured bacterium
Lineage: Bacteria
Description: bacterial SSU rRNA
Rfam family: Bacterial small subunit ribosomal RNA
Source: RNAcentral